RNAcentral lists this ribosomal RNA (473 nucleotides) under Pseudomonas sp. NN018582. RNAcentral describes it as "bacterial SSU rRNA". It matches the Rfam family "Bacterial small subunit ribosomal RNA", at positions 30 to 496 of the family's 1533-position model. The record is from RNAcentral. Lineage: Bacteria; Pseudomonadati; Pseudomonadota; Gammaproteobacteria; Pseudomonadales; Pseudomonadaceae.
AUUGAACGCUGGCGGCAGGCCUAACACAUGCAAGUCGAGCGGAUGACAGGAGCUUGCUCCUGAAUUCAGCGGCGGACGGGUGAGUAAUGCCUAGGAAUCUGCCUGGUAGUGGGGGACAACGUUUCGAAAGGAACGCUAAUACCGCAUACGUCCUACGGGAGAAAGCAGGGGACCUUCGGGCCUUGCGCUAUCAGAUGAGCCUAGGUCGGAUUAGCUAGUUGGUGAGGUAAUGGCUCACCAAGGCGACGAUCCGUAACUGGUCUGAGAGGAUGAUCAGUCACACUGGAAAUGAGACACGGUCCAGACUCCUACGGGAGGCAGCAGUGGGGAAUAUUGGACAAUGGGNGAAAGCCUGAUCCAGCCAUGCCGCGUGUGUGAAGAAGGUCUUCGGAUUGUAAAGCACUUUAAGUUGGGAGGAAGGGCAGUAACUUAAUACGUUGNUGUGUNGACGUUACCGACAGAAUAAGCACCGG